GGUUCCAUGGCAUAGUGGUUAGGGUGUUCGCUUCGUACGCAAAUGGACCCGGGUUCGAUCCGCGGUGGGCCUA
Molecule: transfer RNA, 73 nt
Filed under: Ixodes scapularis (black-legged tick)
Lineage: Eukaryota; Metazoa; Arthropoda; Arachnida; Ixodida; Ixodidae
Description: tRNA-Thr for anticodon CGU
Rfam family: tRNA
About the family: Transfer RNA (tRNA) molecules are approximately 80 nucleotides in length. Their secondary structure includes four short double-helical elements and three loops (D, anti-codon, and T loops).
Source: RNAcentral